ACAAACUAAAACUAGCUAACAACAUACUAAAAGAAGUAAGAUAACAAUAAAAAAAAUCUUUUUAAAACACCGUCAUAAAUUAACUAGGAAAGACCAAAAUAACAUUCAUGAGAUGAUAUCUCAUUACAUACGCCUUAAAGAAAAAUUAACAUCAACAAAAUUUGGUCCAACUUGAAAAAUGUAAUUUAGAUAUACUAAACAUUAAAAAGAAACGAAGUAAUAAAAUUGAGGUUGCUUCUCAAAAUAUCAUUGCAAAAGCACUUCUUUAAUAGUUAGUCCUGAUUUCCAUCUUAUACAACCUGUGUAAACAAAAAUUUAAGAUUUUAUUUCAUAUAUUGGGUAAUUUAAGCAUCAAAGAAACAUAUAUAUACAAUUAGAUCACUCAUACAACCUGUGUUGAAUUUUAAAUGUGUAAUUGAGGGAAUAUGAACACUCAUACACUUUCCGUGCAAAUUAGAUUCAAGAGUACAUACAUAAUGUUUUUUCUGGAAGGGGAAAGCCAACAGAACACAAUUGAAACACAAUUAUUCUAGAACAAGAAAGCUAACAGUACUCAUGAAUUGAACUAACAGUAAACAACAAAUUACAUGUUCAGGAAGAGGAAAGCUAAUAUGAAAACAGAGAAAACAAACACAAUUGAAGAGGAAAGCUAACAGAACACAAUUCAACUAACAGAUGAUUCCACAAUUAUUCUUGAACAAGAAAGCUAACAGUACAUAAAUUGAACUAACAGUAAACAACAAAUUACAUGUUCAAGAAGAGGAAAAUUAAUAUGAAAACAGAGCAAACAAACACAAUUGAAAUCUCUCAUGCGUAGAACAUAGGUUUGGUUCGACAAUUCGUUUUUUGGUGAUUUACAUCCAACCUCUACUCUAACAGGCUAAAUAAAUAGCAGAAGAUCUAAAUUAAAUUAACGAGAACAAAGCAAUGUAGUUAUUAUUGUACCUGAAGGGAUAACUUGAUAAGGUUCAUUGAUCACUGUAUCAUGAAAAUGAAACAUAGUUAUAUAUUAGGUGUUAAAUGCUACAAACUAUUUCUAUUUAAUUAAACAAGCUAUAAUGAAAUUAUUAUAGUUUAAAGUAUACUAUGGCUAACCUUGAUCUGGAUGAGCUCAUAAACUGCUGAACUGUUUCAAAAUAUCAUCUUGACGUGCCAAUAGAGUUUUCAAGAUUACAAUUAGGAGCAAUAUGGUUAAAGUUUAACAUAAAUGAAAGCUUUGAUCUUUUAAACUUUCACUUCAAUAAAAUAUCAAAAUUGUGGCAAUUUACCAUAACCAGAAACACCAACAUCUGACAAAAUUCAGUUAAGGUAAGGAAAUAAAUUAAUAUAGGUCAAUAUAUAAUAAUAUUGUAGAGAAUCAGGCGAAGCAAAUAAAUUCAAAGAAAGAAGUAAAAUCAGUUCAAAUCAAGUAGCAACAUAAAUGGACAAUUUGUGGUUCAAAUAAAUUAAGGCAAAAGUAACCACAAAGAAUGAUCAAUUAAAUUAAGCAAAGCAAUCCAUUGACAUAUCAAAUCUUACUCAAAUACACUCAAAAAUCAGUAGCUCUAUUUGUGAUUGAAUCAAAGUGGUGCUAUUGCAAAAUGCUAGAGCGAAUGAACAAAUUUAGGCUAUCAUAAAUCACAACAGUUCAUGCUUAAGACGAGAUUCACAAAUUACCUGACUUUAACAAUCUAAACAUGCAAUAAGACUUCUAAUCGGAAAGCAAACGGCCAUUUGAGAAAUGAGAUAACUAUUAAAGAAACUAACCCACGAAUCUGUUAAGAUCCGUCUCGAAAUCUCAAACUGUGUGUUGACCAGACUCUAUUGUGUCUCGAAAUCUCAAACCGUGUGUUGACCAGACUCUAUUGGUGCUCGUCUUUGCCGUCCUCACCGUAAAAUGUGAGGAACGACGCUAGGGCUUGCUGGUCAGAGCAGCGCUCCGGUUGAUGAUGGUUGUUGGUCCAAUUUGCCAGCGACUGUUGGCUGCUCUUGCCGAAGCAAAAGAGAGGAGAAGGGUCUCGCUGGUGGCUCGGGGCUGUUCUCGCCGGAGCAAAGGAGAUGAGGAGCUCACUUGGUCCUCGCUUGCUUCCAUCUUCGCUGGAGAAGAGAGAAUGGAGGGGAAGAAGAGGGGCUCGGGGUUUCAAGAAGAGGCGGCGAGCAGGCGGCACGGGGUUUCUCAGGAGCCUGCUGGACGAAGAUGGAGGAGGUGGCGAUUUCGCCGGAAAUAGAAAACGACCCAAGGGGUCUGCGGCACUGUUCUCGUGACAAAGAGGAGAAUGAAUUAGAGUUGGGUCUUUUAGGGGUUAAAAUAUGAAGGUAUGGAUUAAUGAAUUUGGACCGUUGAUUUGAAUGAAAUGAACGGGCACGAUUAGAUCUUGAGCUUGAUCAAGGUAACAGAUGGACGAUAAGAUAGGAGGCUCUUUGUGACUUGAAUCAGAUUAGCAAUAA
RNAcentral lists this long non-coding RNA (2427 nucleotides) under Solanum tuberosum (potato). RNAcentral's name for it is "long non-coding RNA (STUB_LNC009769)". The record is from RNAcentral. Lineage: Eukaryota; Viridiplantae; Streptophyta; Magnoliopsida; Solanales; Solanaceae.